This 73-nucleotide transfer RNA is filed under the name Klebsiella pneumoniae. RNAcentral describes it as "tRNA-Lys". The stretch from base 1 to 63 matches the Rfam family "tRNA". From Rfam's summary of the family: Transfer RNA (tRNA) molecules are approximately 80 nucleotides in length. Their secondary structure includes four short double-helical elements and three loops (D, anti-codon, and T loops). Further hydrogen bonds mediate the characteristic L-shaped molecular structure. tRNAs have two regions of fundamental functional importance: the anti-codon, which is responsible for specific mRNA codon recognition, and the 3' end, to which the tRNAs corresponding amino acid is attached (by aminoacyl-tRNA synthetases). tRNAs cope with the degeneracy of the genetic code in two manners: having more than one tRNA (with a specific anti-codon) for a particular amino acid; and 'wobble' base-pairing, i.e. permitting non-standard base-pairing at the 3rd anti-codon position. The record is from RNAcentral. Lineage: Bacteria; Pseudomonadati; Pseudomonadota; Gammaproteobacteria; Enterobacterales; Enterobacteriaceae.
GGGUCGUUAGCUCAGUUGGUAGAGCAGUUGACUUUUAAUCAAUUGGUCCCUAAAGGCGCCUUUUUGCUAUCUG